GACGAACGCUGGCGGCGUGCUUAACACAUGCAAGUCGAACGGAAAGGCCCCUUUUGGGGUACUCGAGUGGCGAACGGGUGAGUAACACGUGAGUAACCUGCCCUUUACUUCGGGAUAACUUCAGGAAACUGGGGCUAAUACCGGAUAGGAAUCCUUGCUGCAUGGUGGGGGUUGGAAAGCUUCGGCGGUUUUGGAUGGACUCGCGGCUUAUCAGCUUGUUGGUGGGGUAGUGGCUUACCAAGGCUUUGACGGGUAGCCGGCCUGAGAGGGCGACCGGCCACAUUGGGACUGAGAUACGGCCCAGACUCCUACGGGAGGCAGCAGUGGGGAAUAUUGCACAAUGGGCGGAAGCCUGAUGCAGCAACGCCGCGUGCGGGAUGACGGCCUUCGGGUUGUAAACCGCUUUCAGCAGGGGCGAAGCUUGUGGUGACGGUACCUGCAGAAGAAGCACCGGCUAACUACGUG
Molecule: ribosomal RNA, 465 nt
Filed under: uncultured bacterium
Lineage: Bacteria
Description: partial 16S ribosomal RNA
Rfam family: Bacterial small subunit ribosomal RNA
Source: RNAcentral